GGAAAAAGGCGUUGAAACCCCCAAUGGGAAUGGACAAAGCUGAACAGGCUCUUGAGAUCCUACGUGUGCUGCCAUCACUGUUCCCCUCCACGUCUGCUCCUCCAAAGAGGGUACGAAAUGCGAGUGAGGCUCUGGUGCAUGUCCUCGAGGAAACGGAAGACCCCAAUUCAUACCUGAAAAAA
This is a long non-coding RNA of Gadus chalcogrammus (walleye pollock), 182 nucleotides long. RefSeq lists it as uncharacterized. NCBI's taxonomy places the organism in Eukaryota, Metazoa, Chordata, Actinopteri, Gadiformes, Gadidae. The transcript has 3 exons. The record is from RefSeq and is a predicted model, not a curated record.